AUGUUGCCGGCUAGCGUCAAGUUCGAUCCCACGGAUCAGGAGCUGAUCGAGCACCUUGACACCAAAGUGAGUGUUGACAGCGCGAGAUUUCAAUCUCUCAUCGAUUUGUUCAUACCAACCAUCGACAGCGAGCACGGCAUAUGCUACACCCAACCUGAGAAACUUCCAGGUAUCACAAUAAGUGGCCUAAGGAAGCAUUUCUUCCAGCGCAAUUCCAGGGCGUUCAAAUGGGGCACGUGGACGCGUCGCAAGAUACAACGGGCAACAAAAAAGGUUCUGGUGCUGCACACCAACAAGAACUUCGACCAGCAAAGGACUAACUGGGUGAUGUACCAGUACCACAUCGGGGACCUGGAGCAAGAGAAGGAGCGGGAGCUGGUCCUCUGCAAGAUUUUCUACCAGACGAACACUAGGGCUGGGAGUAGUUUGGUAUUGGUAGUUGUACUACCUUGUCGUCCGCAAGUUGGUAUUGUUGUUAAUGAUCUUUUGGCCCAGGCCAUGACGACAACGGGGCACAAAGAUCCAGCAGGUAUCUACUGGCCUCUGGCCCGCCAGCUUUAG
RNAcentral lists this ribosomal RNA (561 nucleotides) under Triticum aestivum (bread wheat). Its description in RNAcentral is "partial small subunit ribosomal RNA". Lineage: Eukaryota; Viridiplantae; Streptophyta; Magnoliopsida; Poales; Poaceae. The record is from RNAcentral.